UGCCUUAGUAGCGGCGAGUGAAGCGGCAAAAGCUCAAAUUUGAAAUCUGGUACUUUCAGUGCCCGAGUUGUAAUUUGAAGAAGGUAUCUUUGGGUCUGGCGCUUGUCUAUGUUUCUUGGAACAGAACGUCACAGAGGGUGAGAAUCCCGUGCGAUGAGAUGAUCCAGACCUAUGUAAAGUUCCUUCGACGAGUCGAGUUGUUUGGGAAUGCAGCUCUAAGUGGGUGGUAAAUUCCAUCUAAAGCUAAAUAUUGGCGAGAGACCGAUAGCGAACAAGUACAGUGAUGGAAAGAUGAAAAGAACUUUGAAAAGAGAGUGAAAAAGUACGUGAAAUUGUUGAAAGGGAAGGGCUUGAGAUCAGACUUGGUAUUUUGUAUGUUACUUCUUCGGGGGUGGCCUCUACAGUUUAUCGGGCCAGCAUCAGUUUGGACGGUAGGACAAUUGCGGUGGAAUGUGGCACGGCUUCGGUUGUGUGUUAUAGCCACUGUCGAUACUGCCAGUCUAGACUGAGGACUGCGGUUUUAUUACCUAGGAUGUUGGCAUAAUGAUCUUAAGUCGC
This 558-nucleotide ribosomal RNA is filed under the name Candida maltosa. RNAcentral describes it as "eukaryotic LSU rRNA". It matches the Rfam family "Eukaryotic large subunit ribosomal RNA", at positions 76 to 648 of the family's 3401-position model. Lineage: Eukaryota; Fungi; Ascomycota; Pichiomycetes; Serinales; Debaryomycetaceae. The record is from RNAcentral.